UAGGGAAUCUUCCACAAUGGACGCAAGUCUGAUGGAGCAACGCCGCGUGAGUGAAGAAGGGUUUCGGCUCGUAAAGCUCUGUUGUUAAAGAAGAACGUGGGUAAGAGUAACUGUUUACCCAGUGACGGUAUUUAACCAGAAAGCCGCGGCUAACUCUGUGCCAG
RNAcentral lists this ribosomal RNA (164 nucleotides) under uncultured bacterium. RNAcentral describes it as "partial 16S rRNA". It matches the Rfam family "Bacterial small subunit ribosomal RNA", at positions 355 to 511 of the family's 1533-position model. The record is from RNAcentral.